AUUGAACGCUGGCGGCAGGCCUAACACAUGAAAGUCGAGCGAGCGGCGGACGGGUGAGUAAUGUCUGGGAAACUGCCUGAUGGAGGGGGAUAACUACUGGAAACGGUGGCUAAUACCGCAUACCAUCAGAUGUGCCCAGAUGGGAUUAGCUAGUAGGUGGGGUAACGGCUCACCUAGGCGACGAUCCCUAGCUGGUCUGAGAGGAUGACCAGCAACACUGGAACUGAGACACGGUCCAGACUCCUACGGGAGGCAGCAGUGGGGAAUAUUGCACAAUGGGCGCAAGCCUGAUGCAGCCAUGCCGCGUGUGUGAAGAAGGCCUUCGGGUUGUAAAGUACUUUCAGCGGGGAGGCGUUACCUAUAGAAGAAGCACCGUCUAACCCCGUGUCAGCAGCCGCGGUAAUUC
RNAcentral lists this ribosomal RNA (406 nucleotides) under uncultured bacterium. RNAcentral describes it as "partial 16S ribosomal RNA". It matches the Rfam family "Bacterial small subunit ribosomal RNA", at positions 30 to 526 of the family's 1533-position model. The record is from RNAcentral.